UAUUUUAUUUUUAAAUAAUUAUUUUACCUUAUUUCCUUUAAUAUUUCAUUAAUCAUUAUCUUCUUCUAUUUGGUUUACCCAUUUCCCCUUUAAAAAUUGGUUGGCGCUCGUUCUAUAAUAGGCAACCCUAUUUACAUUGUAUCAUCUCUUGUGUUCCAUGUUCGUGAUUUCAAAUUUCGUCCAAGGUUCGUUGUCAUGUCAUUUUAAUGACAAUGACAACCCCCAUAUCUCAUUCUCAAAAUGGAGGUGGAAAUGUUUUAAAAAGCAAAGCAGCUUCAAAAAUAAAUCAUUUUAUUUCAACAAAUCAUCUUCCUCUUGGGUUUUUGAGAAUAAAGAUCACAGUCCUCCCUCCGGGAGCUUCAAGCCAUCCACACCGGUGAUGGAACUAGGGCUAUACCACAACAAUGGACCAUGAAAUCUAGGCUGCAACACUGAACAUCUUUUGCUGCACUGACCUAGGGCCUCAACAUCUGCCCAGGUCAAGAGAAGUCCACAGCAGUACCAUACGACAUCAAGAAGAUACCAUCAGCUACCAAAAGCCAUAAGUAUAAUCCAGAAUUGUUAGUUUUUGGCAAGAAUUUGAAUACAUUUGUUAAUGCAAUUUACUAAGUCAUUUUAUUUAUUAUAUCUUUAUGAACAAUAAACAUGAUUAGUUAAAAACUA
This 663-nucleotide long non-coding RNA is filed under the name Diabrotica virgifera virgifera (western corn rootworm). Its description in RNAcentral is "uncharacterized LOC126881659". The record is from RNAcentral. Lineage: Eukaryota; Metazoa; Arthropoda; Insecta; Coleoptera; Chrysomelidae.